Long non-coding RNA from Hippocampus zosterae (dwarf seahorse), 1045 nucleotides. RefSeq lists it as uncharacterized. The record is from RefSeq and is a predicted model, not a curated record. Lineage: Eukaryota; Metazoa; Chordata; Actinopteri; Syngnathiformes; Syngnathidae. The transcript is spliced from 4 exons.
GCACUCACUUGAGUCAUUUGUAUUAUGAUGAUGGCGAUUUUCACACGUUGAAUACUUGAGUACUGUAUUUUUAUCCGAUGCGUUUGUUUCUUUUAAUUACCGCGCGUUGUACGACAACGAUGUUCGAUUCCAGGCCGGUAGACUUAAGGGGUUUCUCGAACGCUGUUGAUCUUGAGUAGAUGUAUUUUGAAACGAACAUCUGACGUCUUGUCACCUUAAAGCAAUGUGUUUUUUGUUUUGUUUUUUUUUGGGGGGGGGGUGCGUCUGCCGAAAUAGCAGAGCGAAACGGUCUCUUUGGCCACGUGAUUCUUUGCAUGCAAGCUAACCGAAUGACCGAGACGAUGGAUUUUGGAAUACUGUAAUGAACAUGACCGGAUUGAAUGGUUUAAGUAGACUCGCGUUGCUUUCCCAACGCAACGGCUCAACUAGUCACUACCGAUGUUUAAAGCGAGCACCUUUUAAAAUGUAUAAUUAGCGUUAGUCUCGGGUCAGCUCCGCUGCCGCGUGCUGUUCAAAGUUUGGGGGGGUUGGCCUUCUUGAGCGGCCUCUUCCCGUGACAGCCGUGGCCACAGCACUUCAGGUUUUGCUUUCACCGCCGCACUAUUGGUUGCUGCACGGUGUCAAUGAGGCUUGAGACAUGACUCGUCUGUCAUUUGCCUGCCGAUUUGUCACCUGAUGCUAAAGUUAUUCCUCGACGUUUUGUGUGAAAACUCUUUCCUGAACGGGCUCUCACUGUGAAUCCCAACCUGAAUGUGGCAUUUCCUUGCAGGGUGGGGUGACGUAGCUUUCGCGGCUGGCUCGAGAGUCAGGAGACUGAAAUGCGAGCGGCGCGGACACCCGCAGCGGCUCCUCUUGUUUUAUGUUGAGAAGGAAGAAAUUUCAUCUGUCCUGUAUGGUACAUACAGUACAUUUGACAAUAAAGUUUAUCCAAACCCCCCCGCCGUGGUUCCAGCGAGGUAGCGCCGAGGCCAAGCUGAGCCCACCCGUAACCUUCCAGCAGAUGAUUGCCAGCCGAGUUGACAGAGUUCCUUCUUCCGCAAGCAUA